AUUUCAUGAGAAAGAAAAAUUCAACGUCCAUCGCCAUUUAUUAGCCAAAUACAGAGUGCUCCCUGUCUCCGGCUUGCAUCCUCUUCACCCGGGAAACCGAAACCCGAGCUCCGCAACCAAACGAUCCGUGCACGACAACAAACAAACCUUACCAUGAUGAAUAAAAUUUAACUCCCGCUUUCGUUAUAAAGUUACAUGACCCGACAUCUCCCUCCCGCGACCUUACCAACAGCCAAGGGACGAGCGAGCGGACUGCGCUGGUGUUUUUCUCUGUGCUCUCCCUGAGUGUGCAAUAUCUCCAGUUCGCGAAAACAAGUUCCUGUCGUGCCGCAUCCAGUUAACAUACUAACUACUUAUUCUUCUCCUAAAAGAGGCUUUCUGUACCCUGAAGGAUCAGGUAUAUAUUCCCAGGUUUUCGUGCUUAUCGAGCAGUUUAUCUUAUACGCGGUAUUACUUGAUUGAGAACCCAGAUCGCGGCGGCAGUGGACGGAAGGUUACUGCUUGUGCCCGCAAAGGGAAUUCUUUAUUGAUUUCUCUUUUGCGUUGAAUAUCAUAACUGGUGCGGCAAGUCUCUACAUAUCCGUGACUACGGAGCUUUAGCCGCCUGCAGCGGACAAGGAAGCUCGGAAACGCACAACUCUGACCCGGGUUUCUUUGGUCAACCCCGGAGACUUUUUCUUUAAACAAAUACACCGCGCAAACACGCUGUCAAGCAAGCGGCGGGAUCGCACAAAGCAGCUCCCCCUUUUUAUAAGGGCCAAGAAUAAAAAAGGUUUAUAAAAUAUAUGUUGUAAAACAACGAAAAAGAGGAGGGAGGGAAAAUUAAAAAAACAAUGUCCUUCAAACUCCCCAGCAAUGUCCCUUCCUUCUCCUCCUCCCAGCGCGAGUAUGAGGACGGCUACUGGCGCGCCACAAGAACCAACGUCGACAACCACGGUUUCUCCUUCGCCAGCUUCAUGAACCCGAACAUCAACAGCAAUCUGCCCAUGUACAAAGACAAACCACAUUACGCCUCACGGCAGGUCCGGAGACGGCGAAAAAUUACCUGGGUAUUGGCUGGGUUGGUGUUCUUGGGUAUUGUGUGGGUGCUUGUGCAUAUGACAGCACCGGGGCAGGUGGUGCGAAUGAAAACUACUAAGCAUGGGGGCAAUUUGUGGA
This 1158-nucleotide small RNA is filed under the name Histoplasma capsulatum. RNAcentral describes it as "hypothetical RNA". Lineage: Eukaryota; Fungi; Ascomycota; Eurotiomycetes; Onygenales; Ajellomycetaceae. RNAcentral also lists the same sequence under 1 other name. The record is from RNAcentral.